AAAAUGUUCAAAAUGUGAAUUUUGCAUAAUAAGUCUCUUUUAAGUUUGAGUUUCAUCCCUUUAAGGUUUUGGACUUGUCUCCAAAGUAAGAGCAUUGAACCACUGAGAGUCUUGUCAGCCUCAGCCAGCAUUGUCUCAGUUUUAUGGAAACGAUACUUCAUGCCGUCCACCGUUCUCCUGGUAUUUUGGCUGAUUUCUUUUAAUUUUUCCUGUUAUGUCACAAAAGGAAGCAGCGAGUUUGAGGCAUUUCCUUAUAUUGUAUCUGCAGAAACCUGGUCAAGGCUGAACUUGCAGACCUGAGAGUUGGCUUUGCAGCAGAAUGGUUAUCAGUGUGAUCCUGCCAUGUGCAGCGCAAACAGGACCAGAUGAGGUUAUGUAAGAGGAAAAUCAGGGAGGGCGUGGAGUCCAGCCGGAGCUGCUUACAGCCUGACACAGCGUAUCUCUGAGAGCGAACAAUCCUCUCAGCCGUGCAGCCUCUGCACACUUAAACCAGCCGCUGUGUUCAGCUAAUGCAGGUCAGCACAACCUCCAGCCGUGCAUACGCGAAACAAGAAGAUGCGUUUCAAGCAGCGGUGGGUAGAGUACCCAAAAAUUUA
Molecule: non-coding RNA, 596 nt
Organism: Poecilia reticulata (guppy)
Lineage: Eukaryota; Metazoa; Chordata; Actinopteri; Cyprinodontiformes; Poeciliidae
Source: RefSeq, a predicted model, not a curated record